GCUUUAUCUUCCUCUGUCUUCCUCUACCCGACCCCCUCCCACCUCUCAUCUAGGGACGAUGACACAUCUAGCACCGACCACUGCCCCGCCCCGCCGCCAGCUUCCCCUCACCGGCGUCGCCCCCAACAGCGGCGAGGACCGCUCUUAUCCUUCCCUUCCCCUCUACCCUCUCCUUCCACGCCCCCACUGUAGUCGGAUCUGAGCUGGCUCCGAUCCCCCGCCGUCUCUCCCGGAUCCGGCGGCCCCAACGCUACUGGAGCCACCCACGCGAUCGCCAUCGCCGUAAACAAUUGUGGUCACGAUACCCCUACCAUUGGCCCUCCCCGACCGGCCUCCACCACCGUGCCGGGUAGCGCCUCGCCGUUCCAUCGACACACUGCCACCACCACCAGUCCUGCAGACUCCCCAGCAAUCCCUUUAAACCCGGCAGGCACCAAUCCCCUUCCAACCCCAAACCCCCCCAAACCCUAACCUGAACCCAAAAUCCUAUCCCAAACUGGAGCUCACUAGAUAAGACGAGGUGCACAACAGAGGAGGGGGUCGCUGCAAUUGAAGGCAACUAGGGAGAGUGGGCUGUCCUGAUAACGAUUGGUGCAGAGCCCCGCCGCCGGCUCUCCCGUGCUUUAUCUUUAUAAGGUGUCCACAGCUGCACGAAAAAAAGAAAACAAAAAAGAUAAAAGCCUCUCGUCUUCUUCUUCCUGACCCCCCGCUCCUCUCAUCUUCUCCAUCCGUGCGAGGCAUGGUAGUGCAUCUAUCCCUGACCACCAGCUAGACCACGCCCCCCUGCAGUCAGACCCGAGCUUCCCUGCCUCCAAUCUCCCGCCGUCCCUCCCGGCCUUGGGGGGCCAUCAUUGCCGGAUCCGCCACCCACGCGACCGCCACCAACACACCGAGCCUCCCCAACCUGCCUCCUCUAACUUGUGGUGGGUGGUGGCUCGCUGUCCCGUCCACCACUGUCACUUCGGCAGCCUCCACGACCAUCCUUUUAAGCCCGACAGCCACCAAUCCCCUACCCAACCCGAAACCCCCAAACCCUAAUAUGAACCCAAAUCCUAACCCAAUUCGGAGCUCGCAUGAGAAGACGAGGUGCACGCCGGAGAUAGAAGAUCGCUGGAGUAGAGGAGGUCGCCGGAGUUGGAGGUGCAUGAGGGGCACUUCGGAGUGCAGUAAGGGCAGUUGGCUUUGCAUUCUUCUGGUGUGAGGAAACAUCUUUGCUGAUCUGGCAGUUGGUUCUCGCAACAAUAGCAGAGCUCAAACAAGCCAGGCAAACAAUGCAAUUUCCGGUCAGUGCAAAACUGCAUUGUUAACUUGCUCUCAUCUAAUGAGCUGGAGUUGGCUGCAGUAGCAUUAGUAGUCAUGCUGGUAAAACUGUUCGUGUAGCUCCUUGCAGCUGUAGCAUCGAGUAGCCGAGGAGGAUGACCUAUCAAUUGCAUAUCAUGUCAGUAGAUAUGUCUUGACAAGCUUAGGUUAGCCAGGUGAGAAAAAAAAGUUUAUGUAGACUCACAUUCUGCAGGCAAUGCAAGACAUCCCAAAACCACAAGAAACAAUAUGGUAAUCAUGUACGUGAGACCAACACCGCCGCUCUCUCAUCUUGGAACUUAUUUUACUUACUGGUCACAAUAUCUGAAUUGUAUAUGAUUGUCAGCAAUGCCUCGAAUUUGAUAUUUAUACAGAGAGGCUGGUCCUCAUAGUUGAGCUUGAGGUAAGUCCAUGGGGGCAAAUGGGAUCUGCAACUAUGAAAUUGAGGUGUUUGUUAUUCUGAUUGUAGAAAACAAAACGGUCAACAUUUAUAAAUAGCUAUCUUAUGUGAUUUAUUAGUGGAUUCACUGGAUACAUAUCCAAUAAGAUCUACUAUAUACAGUCCCUCAUGAUUUAGCAAAAUUAAUUUGAUUCAUUGCUGACAUGAUUUUUAGGAUCACUUUGCUUGGUGCCAAAAAAAAGGAAUUUUUUUCACCACAUAUCAGUAUUAUACAGGAUUGAUUGAGGGCUAAUAUUACACAUUUCUCACUUGAGUAAACAAUUAAAACAAUCCUUGUAUGUACUCCUAACAGUUCAUUUUAUAUUAUAUUCCAGGUACCUGGAAACCUUUUACUCAAGAUACAUGUUUAGGUGUCACUAAAGGAAGAUUCAGGCUUAAUUUGAGUGAUUAGGCCGAAAGCAGAGCGACAUCAGACCCAGCGUGCUCGCCUCGUGGGAAUGUCUGUUGACUGCUGUACUAUAAUACACAUCAUCCGGCACCCAAAUCAAUGUCAGUCUCAGGUUGACUGCUAUCUGAAUCAAAGGAGGUUGGAAUGUCUGUUUGGCUGCCGUCCUAGCAUACACCAUCCAAUGGCUCCAUAUCAAUGUCAUUCUCAUCUUGAUUUUAUUGGAGCUGAGGUAGUAGUCGAGCAGAGAGGACCUAAACCUUGUUAUUACUCAAAAAAAUUUAAAAGUUAGGAACUCUUGUUUCAUCACAGCAUUAAGGAACCAAGACUGAUGCAGAUCAUCAUUAAAAUUGUAUCUUGUACAUCAAAGCAAUAACAUUAUUGUUUAGAUCC
Long non-coding RNA from Setaria italica (foxtail millet), 2537 nucleotides. RefSeq lists it as uncharacterized. The record is from RefSeq and is a predicted model, not a curated record. The transcript is spliced from 3 exons. Lineage: Eukaryota; Viridiplantae; Streptophyta; Magnoliopsida; Poales; Poaceae.